Parus major (Great Tit) is the source of this 2665-nucleotide long non-coding RNA. RefSeq lists it as uncharacterized. The transcript has 3 exons. Lineage: Eukaryota; Metazoa; Chordata; Aves; Passeriformes; Paridae. The record is from RefSeq and is a predicted model, not a curated record.
UUUAGACACAGCUUCUUAGCAGAUAUUUUAGUAUAAAAAGACAUUUUCUUGGAAAAAAAAUGCGACCAUUUCAUUAAAGGUGUUUCAGUUUCUUCUCAGUUGCCUGGGGGCAAUCUCUGGAUGUGCUGGCAGGGCGAGUGACUGGAGGGCACGAAGCCCAACCAAGCAGCUGGAAGAGGCAGCUCUGACAUUGCCCUGCUGUGCCUCGAAUCUCCUGCCAAUGCCAACGGGUUCAUUGAGCUGGGAGCGCUUCCACCUAAGGGAGAAAUUUUGCCCAAUGACUAUUCCUGCUGUGUUACUGGCUGGGGAGUGGUCAGUGGUGAGUGAGGGGGAAGGAGGAGGGUCCAGGGGGACCACCAUACAAAUAAAGCUUCUUUCCUCAACCCCUGGAGCUGCUGGGCCAAGCUGUCACCCUUUCUCAUGUCCCCUCUGCUGUGCAGUGGGUGGUGGCAGCGUGGACAGGCUGCAGGAGGUGAUGCUGCCAGUGGUGACCAUGAUAUCCCUGCUCCCAGGAGGGCUGGUGGGGAUCCCAGGCAAGGACAGCAUGCUCUGUGCAGGUGGAGAUGGUGUGAGGGCAGGAUGUAAGAGCUCUUAUAAUCAGAGGGGUUUCAAGCUGCCCUCUUUCUUUCUCCCUCCUUUCUCACCUUGCUGUGCCUCAAGUUCUGGUUUUGGCAUUUCUUCACCUGCAGUGGUUCUCCUGUAAAUCAUGGCCCCUUUUGCUGCUUUCUGCUGAAUAUCUUCUGAACCAGGCCUUCUCCACAUUCCUCCAAAGAUCAGCAAGCAGAGAGAAAAACCUCCAGCUCCUCAGGGUGCACCUCUCCUCUCUGAUUCUGGAGAGUAGAUUGUCUCUGUCUCUCAGCAGCGUGUCCCAAGGACCAGAUCCUGGGGACAAGGGUGAGACUUUGGCAGUCACCUCUGCCCUGACCCAAAGGGUGAAGCUACAAGGAAGUUUUUCCACUCUUCCAGUGCUGCUGUUUUGUUUUGUUGUACCCUGAGCCAGGCAUUGCUACCUCCUGCUUGUCAACCUUCUCCUUCCCAUCCACUCUGUUUGCAGCUGAGCUUGCUGCAAGUUUGGGCUAUGUCCAACAGCUUUCUCUGGCCCAGAGGUGGAAAAAGAAGAUAUUGUGAGGGUCCCAUUAUCCCAGAGGAUCCAGGUGGACUCAGCAUCAAGGCAAGGAGGCUUGGCAUGAGAAGCCAAGAAAUAUUUGUUACCUCUUCCUGUAUUCCCUUCACUGCAAAGGUGGCUUCUAAUAAAAGCAACCAUGCAGAGCCCUUAAAAAAUUGUGGGAAAAUACAUAAUGUGUGAUUAAGUAAAUAUAGGAAUAUAGAAACAUACAGAAAUAAAGCAGGUUGUACAAUUAUACAUAGUACAGUUAUAGGUACAGGAUAAUUAUAGGUCUGUAGAUGUUUAGUGUAUUUUUUUUUUUGUGUGUGAGUGAUUUAAUUAUGUCAGAACCUUGUUACAAAUCAGGUUGUGAGCCCAGGAAGAGCCUUUAUCUUCUCACAUAUUUUAAGUCCCUAGUGCUCCUUUAUCCUACCCAUUCAUUGCUCAGAUAAUUUGGCUGAAUAUUUCCUUUCCUUCCUCUGGUCCAGGGGGACUCUGGGGGCCCUCUCAGCUACUACAGGGAUGAUCACUGGGAAGUCCAUGGCAUUUUUGUGAAUUUUUGUGUUGGUUCCCUACUGUAACCCCUACCAGAAACCCACAGUCUUCACACAUGUGUCAGCCUACAAGGACUGGUAAAUUCUCCCAUAAGUUGUUUCACGCCUGUGCAUCUCCCCUGAAAGCGAGGGGUUGGCCACAGGAUUUUUCCUUUAUUUUUCAGAGUGGUUUUCCUUUCAUUCAGAGUCAUUUUUUGUUUAUUAAACCAUUAGAAGUAGAACAGGGAGAUCUGGGGAGGUCUAAAAUCAGGAUAUUUGAUGCUACUUUUGGUGCAGUCAAUUUUAAGGGAGCAGCUGCUGCUUCAGAGCUGAAAUGCUCUGCUGAGGGCCACAGAGAAAAUUCAAGCCAGGCAGGAACAGGACUCUGUGUCCAAAAAAUUAUCAUCACCAUUCACCCAGGCAAAACCUUGCUGCAGGAAACCAUGGGAGGAAUUAGCUGGAUGGGAAAUGCAGCAAACAUAAAGCAUCUCUAAAAGUGCAAAUCCUGCAGUGCUGCACUAUCCACCCUCAGCUGCACAUUUGGGAAUGAAUAAUAAGUUUUUUUUCUCCAUAAAUAAUGACUGGAAUAAGAAGCAGCCUUUUCCCAGGCACAGGGUUUUGUGGAAAAGCUUCUGUAAAUUGUGGGUUCUUCUGGAAAUAAAGGUGAGGAGAGGUAUUUUAAAUCAGUGUGGGGUAGAGAGAGGCCACUGUGGUCCAUAAACAUUUCUGGGUGGGAAUAGGUUGUUAGAGCAGUCCCCUGGCUCAGCUGGGAACAAGUCCUUCUUCAGACCAUUCCCUGGGAUGGAGACAUGCCUUAUUCUGCCUCUCUGCUGAAUUAAUCAGUUUUUUGCUUUCCAGACUAUGCAGAAUAAUGGAAGUUUCUGGAGAAGGAUCGCUUGGUGCAUGAAUAUAUGAGAUAAAAUUAAGUAGCUGUACUCUUUAACCCUCUUCUCAUCCUUUCUGCACCUUUCUGGGUUAUUAACAGCAAGAUUUGGCUAAUAUUGGUGUAAUAAAGUCUCAGUGAGUG